GAUGAAGAACGCAGUGAAAUGCGAUAAGUAAUGUGAAUUGCAGAAUUCAGUGAAUCAUUGAAUCUUUGAACGCACAUUGCGCCCGCCAGUAUUCUGGCGGGCAUGCCUGUUCGAGCGUCAUUUCAACCAUCAAGCCCCCGGCUUGUGUUGGGGACCUGCGGCUGCCGCAGGCCCUGAAAUGCAGUGGCGGGCUCGCUGUCACUCCGAGCGUAGUAGUUACAUCUCGCUCUGGGCGUGCUGCGGGUUCCGGCCGUUAAAAGCCUUAUUUACCCAAGGUUGACCUCGGAUCAGGUAGGAAGACCCGCUGAACUUAAGCAUAUCAAUAAGCGGAGGA
This 334-nucleotide unclassified non-coding RNA is filed under the name soil metagenome. Its description in RNAcentral is "partial contains 5.8S ribosomal RNA, internal transcribed spacer 2, and large subunit ribosomal RNA". The stretch from base 1 to 120 matches the Rfam family "5.8S ribosomal RNA", at positions 35 to 154 of the family's 154-position model. The record is from RNAcentral.